This 492-nucleotide ribosomal RNA is filed under the name uncultured bacterium. RNAcentral's name for it is "partial 16S ribosomal RNA". It matches the Rfam family "Bacterial small subunit ribosomal RNA", at positions 29 to 507 of the family's 1533-position model. The record is from RNAcentral.
AGUGAACGCUGGCGGUAGGCCUAACACAUGCAAGUCGAACGGCAGCACAGUAAGAGCUUGCUCUUACGGGUGGCGAGUGGCGGACGGGUGAGGAAUACAUCGGAAUCUACUUUUUCGUGGGGGAUAACGUAGGGAAACUUACGCUAAUACCGCAUACGACCUACGGGUGAAAGCAGGGGAUCUUCGGACCUUGCGCGAUUGAAUGAGCCGAUGUCGGAUUAGCUAGUUGGCGGGGUAAAGGCCCACCAAGGCGACGAUCCGUAGCUGGUCUGAGAGGAUGAUCAGCCGCACUGGAACUGGGACAGGGUCCAGAGUACUACGGGAGGCAGCAGUGGGGAAUAUUGGACAAUGGGCGCAAGCCUGAUCCAGCCAGACCGCGUGGGUGAAGAAGGCCUUCGGGUUGUAAAGCCCUUUUGUUGGGAAAGAAAAGCAGCAGGUUAAUACCCCGCUGUUCUGACGGUACCCAAAGAAUAAGCACCGGCUAACUUCGUG